ACCCGCGUACAUGCCACCGGGGCAUCCCGGAGGCAGGAAAGGCUUCGGCCGGACAGGGAUGGGCAUGCGGCGCAUUAGGCAGUAGGCGGGGUAACGGCCCACCUAACCGACGAUGCGUAGGGGUUCUGAGAGGAAGGUCCCCCACACUGGUACUGAGACACGGACCAGACUCCUACGGGAGGCAGCAGUGAGGAAUAUUGGUCAAUGGUCGGGAGACUGAACCAGCCAAGCCGCGUGAGGGAUGAAGGUACAGAGUAUCGUAAACCUCUUUUGUCAGGGAACAAAGGCGGGGACGUGUCCCCGGAUGAGUGUACCUGAAGAAAAAGCAUCGGCUAACUCCGUGCCAGCAGCCGCGGUAAUACGGAGGAUGCGAGCGUUAUCCGGAUUUAUUGGGUUUAAAGGGUGCGCAGGCGGUCCGUUAAGUCAGCGGUCAAAGCCCGGGGCUCAACCCCGGCCCGCCGUUGAAACUGGCAGUCUCGAGUUGGAGAGAAGUAUGCGGAAUGCGCGGUGUAGCGGUGAAAUGCAUAGAUAUCGCGCAGAACUCCGAUUGCGAAGGCAGCAUGCCGGCUCCACACUGACGCUGAGGCACGAAAGCGUGGGUAUCGAACAGGAUUAGAUACCCUGGUAGUCCACGCAGUAAACGAU
Molecule: ribosomal RNA, 645 nt
Filed under: uncultured bacterium
Lineage: Bacteria
Description: bacterial SSU rRNA
Rfam family: Bacterial small subunit ribosomal RNA
Source: RNAcentral